GAUGAACGCUGGCGGCGUGCCUAAUACAUGCAAGUCGAGCGAACAGACGAGGAGCUUGCUCCUCUGACGUUAGCGGCGGACGGGUGAGUAACACGUGGAUAACCUACCUAUAAGACUGGGAUAACUUCGGGAAGCCGGAGCUAAUACCGGAUAAUAUAUUGAACCGCAUGGUUCAAUAGUGAAAGACGGUUUUGCUGUCACUUAUAGAUGGAUCCGCGCCGCAUUAGCUAGUUGGUAAGGUAACGGCUUACCAGGGCGACGAUGCGUAGCCGACCUGAGAGGGUGAUCGGCCACACUGGAACUGAGACACGGUCCAGACUCCUACGGGAGGCAGCAGUAGGGAAUCUUCCGCAAUGGGCGAAAGCCUGACGGAGCAACGCCGCGUGAGUGAUGAAGGUCUUCGGAUCGUAAAACUCUGUUAUUAGGGAAGAACAAAUGUGUAAGUAACUAUGCACGUCUUGACGGUACCUAAUCAGAAAGCCACGGCUAACUACGUG
Molecule: ribosomal RNA, 497 nt
Filed under: uncultured bacterium
Lineage: Bacteria
Description: partial 16S ribosomal RNA
Rfam family: Bacterial small subunit ribosomal RNA
Source: RNAcentral